UCAUUUCAUUGGUUUAAAUAUCACCCAAAGUGGCGAGACUCCGAGUGUCCUCACAACUAGAGCUGUUUCGCGCGCUGUUUCGCAGCCAGAGGACCUCACUGCUUGAAGUCGUUCCUCCUCAGACAGUUUUGAAAGCGUGUAAUGUGCUGCGACAGAGCAGAACGACAAUGAAGAGGUUAACCACACCUUUCAAAGCGGACAUCUCCUCAGUAGCCUCUUGACCAACUUUGUUGCGCAUUAAGAUGCGCCCGACAGAAGAGGAGUUGGAUGAUGCACUUUUUGCACUCUCGUUGACAGACAGUUUCCAGUGAGCUUUUGCUGAGUGCACCGUCAGAAAUUAAGGGCCUCCUAUGUAUUUAAGAAAUAAUCCAACUCGGUAUUGGCUGAGCUCAUCAAUACUUUAAACUUUACUGGGAUUCCUUGAGGAUUUGCUGCGUUCACCAUGACUGUUCGUCUAUCACGCAUCCAACUGGCCCUGUUCUUUAUCUUGCUCUGUCCGGUCAAUAUCAUCGGACUCUGGUGGGCGGUCGGCAGUCCGCUGGUGAUGGACCCCAACAGCAUUUGCAGGAAGGCGAAGCGUCUGGCGGGGAAGCAGGCUGAGCUGUGCCAGACUCAGCCAGAGAUUGUCAGUGAGGUGGCCAAAGGAGCCAGGCUGGGCAUCAGGGAGUGCCAGUACCAAUUCAGGUACCGCCGGUGGAACUGCACUAGCCACAACAAGUACUUUGGCAAAAUACUGCAGCAAGAUAUCCGGGAAACAGCGUUUGUUUAUGCCAUCACAGCGGCUGGUGUGGCCCAUGCUGUGACCCAGGCCUGCAGCAUGGGAGACCUCCUGCAGUGUGGCUGUGAGGCGACCAGAAAUAGAGCACCUCCAAGACCGUCUCCAACCUCCUCCUCUGGGGACGGAGUCAAGUGGGAGUGGGGGGGCUGCGGGGAUGAUGUAGAGUUUGGAUAUGAAAAGUCAAAACAGUUUAUGGAUGCCAAGAGGAGACGGGGGAAGAGCGACAUCAGGACACUCAUUGACCUGCACAACAACGAGGCUGGGCGACUGGCGGUAAAGCUCUACAUGCGGACAGAGUGCAAGUGCCAUGGAUUGUCAGGCUCAUGCACCUUGCGAACAUGCUGGAAAAAGAUGCCACAUUUCCGUGAGGUAGGCGACCGCCUGCUGGAGCGCUUCAACGGCGCUUCCAAAGUGAUGGGCGGCAACGAUGGCAAGACCCUGAUCCCUGUUGGCCAGAAUAUAAAGCCGCCAGAUAAGCAGGAUCUGAUCUACUCUGACGAGUCGCCCGAUUUCUGCCUUGCAAAUCGGAAAACUGGUUCUCUGGGGACACGGGGGCGCAUGUGCAAUAGCACAGCCAUGGACAUCAGUGGGUGUGACCUGCUGUGCUGUGAGCGCGGCUACCGGGAGGAAACAGUGGUGUUUGAGGAGAACUGUCUGUGUCGUUUCCACUGGUGUUGUGUGGUCCAGUGCAAAAAGUGCUUGGUCCGAAAAGAGCUUAGUCUCUGUCACUGAUGAACUGAUGAACUAAGGUUGAGAACAACCUAUAUUACUUGGUUAAUUAUAAUUACUUCUGUUACUUUUUGAGGUUUUUGCUUUAGUUUGGCUAGUGUGAGAGAAGGAUAGUGUUUGGACUUUCAUAUUGAUCCUUUUGUUUCUGUCUUUGCACCAGUCACAGUCAGAGAAUGCCCCAAAAAGGUUCAUUUAAAAUAGUAUUUUGUCCCAGUUCUGGCUGUUGGGUCCCCAGGAAUUUUGACAGACAUAAGAGGUGCAACCACAUGGAAACAAUGGCAAGGGGAAAUAAAGUGUGGACUUGGCCUGACAGCAAAGACUGUUAUUUAUAUAAAGAUAUGAUGACAAGACUACUCCGUUCCAUCACUCUCAGAAGCACUUUGGAUAUGAUGGCUGCCGUGGACUUCCUCAAUAACUUGGCAAUAAAACCUUUUGGGG
Micropterus dolomieu (smallmouth bass) is the source of this 1945-nucleotide RNA transcript. It is a transcript of the gene named wingless-type MMTV integration site family, member 6b, with no coding region annotated. The record is from RefSeq and is a predicted model, not a curated record. NCBI's taxonomy places the organism in Eukaryota, Metazoa, Chordata, Actinopteri, Centrarchiformes, Centrarchidae. The transcript has 5 exons.